RNAcentral lists this long non-coding RNA (404 nucleotides) under Gadus morhua (Atlantic cod). RNAcentral's name for it is "lncRNA (ENSGMOG00000026815.1)". Lineage: Eukaryota; Metazoa; Chordata; Actinopteri; Gadiformes; Gadidae. The record is from RNAcentral.
GACACAAUGUUUGUGAAAUGAAAAUUGGUUCAUGUUCAAAUGUCAACUCUGUUUCUGUCAUUGACUCAUUCACAGGACAUCUGUGAUGGGGUUGAUAUGAUGGCAGCGGUUAGUUCAACUCCCGCAACAUCCAAAGACGACACUGACAUCUGUGAUGGGGUUGAUAUGAUGGCAGCGGUUAGUUCAACUCCCGCAACAUCCAAAGACGACACUUGCCACCAUAUACUUACCAGCGCAUUUGUCAACGCUUUGGACCAUUGUGAAGCUUGCAAUGGACCUGUCUCCGCUCUAAGAUGGCUUGGUUACACAUGCAAAUUGUGUUCAAGGUCGUGGCACAAAUCCUGCUUUAUCAAGAUGAAUCCGUUGCAGGUAUGUUCAUUGUCUUCUAUUCCAUUUUAAAUUUG